Long non-coding RNA from Solanum verrucosum, 331 nucleotides. RefSeq lists it as uncharacterized. The transcript is spliced from 2 exons. The record is from RefSeq and is a predicted model, not a curated record. Lineage: Eukaryota; Viridiplantae; Streptophyta; Magnoliopsida; Solanales; Solanaceae.
CAGCUGUUGAAGCAUGUUCAUUAUGAGAUAGCUAUAGUCCGUAAUUUCCAUCAAUUGCAAAGUUGUACAGGUAUCCAAGGGAGGAGUUGAUUCCAGCAGUGGUUCCAUUGUGGUUGUUUGCUUUCUCUUUGGUAUUCAGAACUAAUGUAGGCUUUAGUUUAAGACGUUUAGAUGUCAAGUAAAUCUGUGUUUUCUUGAUAAUGAUGUCAGUGCAUGAGAUUGUACUCUAUAUGUUCCUGUUAGUACUGUGUCUUUGAAAAAGAAUCUAAUGUGGAGUUAGCCUUUUAGAUGCAAGUUAGAAUUUGCUAUGGAUGGUAGAUGUUUCUUGAUU